This 301-nucleotide ribosomal RNA is filed under the name uncultured bacterium. Its description in RNAcentral is "partial 16S ribosomal RNA". It matches the Rfam family "Bacterial small subunit ribosomal RNA", at positions 509 to 809 of the family's 1533-position model. The record is from RNAcentral.
CAGCAGCCGCGGGAAUACGGAGGGCGCGAGCGUUACCCGGAUUUACUGGGCGUAAAGGGCGUGUAGGCGGCCUGGGGCGUCCCAUGUGAAAGGCCACGGCUCAACCGUGGAGGAGCGUGGGAUACGCUCAGGCUAGAGGGUGGGAGAGGGUGGUGGAAUUCCCGGAGUAGCGGUGAAAUGCGCAGAUACCGGGAGGAACGCCGAUGGCGAAGGCAGCCACCUGGUCCACUUCUGACGCUGAGGCGCGAAAGCGUGGGGAGCAAACCGGAUUAGAUACCCGUGUAGUCCCUGUCUCUUAUAA